Molecule: unclassified non-coding RNA, 278 nt
Filed under: uncultured Anabaena sp.
Lineage: Bacteria; Bacillati; Cyanobacteriota; Cyanophyceae; Nostocales; Nostocaceae
Description: partial 16S-23S ribosomal RNA intergenic spacer
Source: RNAcentral
UAGGGAGACCUAAUCCAUUUAGAAAUCGAAAACAAUGAAAAUUGUCAAUAGAAACUAAAUUGGUCUAACCUAGGUCGUUCGAGAUUGGUAGACAUCUUUCAAAGUAUUAUUCGGCUUCGUUCAAAACCAUAUAUAAUAAAUGGAAAAAGACAGCACCUAAUUGUCAAAGUUAGACUGCUGGAUAAAGUUCCAGCCAGAACCUUGAAAACUGCAUAAGAGAACAAGAAAAAGCAGGCAGACACAGACAUUUAGAUGGAUGUGGAAGCAAAAGAAAUUGU